CAGCAGGUAGUUUAUUAGAGAAUGUUAAUUUUGGAGAUUAAUGGAGAAAUUAUGUUUUUCUUUGCUGA
Molecule: transfer RNA, 68 nt
Filed under: Triatoma rubida
Lineage: Eukaryota; Metazoa; Arthropoda; Insecta; Hemiptera; Reduviidae
Description: tRNA-Pro
Source: RNAcentral